This is a long non-coding RNA of Anopheles merus, 754 nucleotides long. RefSeq lists it as uncharacterized. The transcript is spliced from 3 exons. Lineage: Eukaryota; Metazoa; Arthropoda; Insecta; Diptera; Culicidae. The record is from RefSeq and is a predicted model, not a curated record.
CAUCGAAGUGACCAUUGAUCGGAUGGUAGUGUUGGUGAGAUCGCAUCGAAGUUUUUUGCUAUCAUUCGACUACAUAUUUUCAUUGAAGUAGAGCGAAGACGCGGCUAAUGAAGGCUUUGAUUGAUCUUCUCGUUUGCGGUAGCGACAAUUCAAUCAAAACAUAAACAAAUCCUAACCCUUGCCCAAGUAACCUCACUUUGCAUUAGACGCAGGCACGCGUCUACAAAGUGGUGUCUUUACACCCAUUCACUACACUGGGCGCAAGAAGUCACGCGCGAUAACGGUCGUUCUGAUUGUAUGUUAUUUCUUAAGUACGUUUUAUGUUCUUGCUUUCGCGUUUGUUUGUGCUUAUCUGAAGUAACCCCGCGAUGUUGCAACUGAAGUUGGACGCUGGUCUCGUGAGUCAGCAGAGCUUGAGUAUGUGAAAUCGACCGCACAGCGAUGUAAACACGGACACGGAACAAUGAGAAAAUAGACAAACAAAACUGUUAACCUCCUCGACCAGCUGUUAGCAUGAAGGAGGGAGAAUUAUUGCCAUGUGAUGAUGAGCCAAUAAUUCUAAUAAAUCCCUUGCGGCUAGAUUGAAGAGACGGUUUCAUGUACUUAUAUGUACUUAUUGUUCAAUAACUAAUUUCAACAAAUUAAAGUUAAUGCAAUUGUCUUUUAUCAACAUUUGCUUGUGCAAAAUUACUCAGCGAUCAAUGAGUAUUAUUUUUUUCCAUAGUUCCGUCUUACUUUUCAGAUUUGAUAAUAA